RNAcentral lists this long non-coding RNA (1944 nucleotides) under Ananas comosus (pineapple). RNAcentral's name for it is "long non-coding RNA (ACOM_LNC036758)". Lineage: Eukaryota; Viridiplantae; Streptophyta; Magnoliopsida; Poales; Bromeliaceae. The record is from RNAcentral.
UCCGUCGCCGUUGCGGUCGCUGCCGCCGCCUGCCACUCCAAGAGCUCCUGGAGCCGCUCGAAUUGGGUCUCUUGGCGCUGCACCACAUUGGUCAGCGCGGUCACCUGCGCUUGCAACCGAUCCAUCACGCUCGGUUCUACCUGCUCGGGCACCUCAGGAGACGGUGCCGGAGUAGAUCUGCGCGUGUAAGAUCUUGGAGACAUUAGUCCCUGAAACGCAAAUACUUGGUCAGUCGUCUUAACCAAUUACCUCGUUGAAUUACGACACAUGACGACUCAACAACAGAAUCGGGUGGAAGCACACAAGUGUACUUGUUCUAGACUCUCGGCAUCAUGUCGUUGGCCGCCAACACAACCACCUCAAGACAAGAACUCAUACCACUUAGAUCCGUCUCUAAUCACAACUAGAGACCUAAUACCACUUCGACCCAAUCGAAUCAACUUCCGCCAUCGUUAUAGGUUCACGUUCCGCUCACGCACCUAUAACCUUAGGGCUUACCAACCUAGGGUCUCCUAGGUCAUCCUAGACUUUCUCUCUUUACUUGCUCUUAUGCUCUGAUACCACAUAUACUGUCACACCCCGCCCCGAAACCACUACCAAUUUAGCACGAUUCGGCCGCGACGGCGGACCGCCGAACGGACAGCACCUCCCCUGUCCGCCCAAGGCUCCGCAACAAGAAUGUGUACAAGAAUGUACCCAGGAAAUUAGAUUCUAAACAUACACAUUCACAAGGGCACAAACGGUGCCAGCAAUAUGAAGAGCAAGUAAUCCACAAGAUAUAGCAUGUGAAAUAAAGAGAGUACUUUACUAACUAUUACAAUAGUUUCAUCAUUUUCAUCUACAUCACUUCUUUAAAUGAUUACAUUUUUUUCAUCUCAAAAUACAUAACUCUCCAACACCUCACCUACAAUGCAUCUCUCAAAUACAUAGGUGUACUAAUGCAAAAAGGAAAGCUACUAUACUACCACGGCCUCACUGAUCGGGCGCGAUGCCCUUGCCGCGGUCCUCUCUCGGCAACCCUGUACCUACCACUGGAAAUAGAGUGGGGUGAGAACUAUCUUCCAUAGUUCCCAGUGGGCUCGGCCGCCGACUCUGCCGAUCUCCCCACUAGGUCCAAGUGGGCACAAGUAACAACAGAUAGAUAGAUAGAUAUGUAUCUGAAAACUGUAAAUGCGAUAGUAAGAAAACUAUGCUACUAUGCCCAUAAUCAUGAAUAUGAAUACAUGCAUCAUAUAAUAAAGGUUUGCUACCAUGCUAACAAAUUCGAUCCAUAUUCGAAUAGUAAUGUUCAAUGACAUUUUUAAACCUUUAACUUUUCAUUUACCCAAUCUGUGGCGAGGCCCUAGGGCUCGCCCAUAACUCACCUUUCAAUCCCAAAGUGGGGAGGGAGCUUCAAGUGCACCCAAGCUCGGGACCGUCUGCGGACCUCCAUGUGGUCCGGACCUCCAAGUGGUCCUAGUCGGGCGACACUCCGGAGUACUCGACAACAAUCCCCUCCAUGUGGGGAUUGGAUGGCUAUACCACCCUUGACGCAGACUGUGAGCUAGAUCUAUCCUCUCCAAGUGAGGAUACACUGUAACUAGGGUCAACACCCAAUCAAAUCCUCUCCAAGUGAGGAUGCUCUACAACUAGAGUCAUUAACCCAAUCGAAUCCUCUCUAAGUGAGGAUGCCCUACACUAGGGUCAACAUCUCUCGCGGAAUCAUUCGUUCCCGACAAUUCAUGCAAUGCUAUUUAGCUUUCUAAAUUCAUUGUUCACAACGCAUUUUCUAAGGGAUCCACCUAUCCCUAGGUUCAUCGACCUCUAGUGUCAUUUACACUACAUUAAUGCCACUCGUCAUCGUUUAACAUUUGGAUGCCACUCGUGUGUUCUUUAACACUAAACACUACUUUCUAUGUCAUCACUACCCCCAUCGGGUUCAUCUCUUUUCUUUUGCAUCAUAGG